This 445-nucleotide ribosomal RNA is filed under the name uncultured bacterium. RNAcentral's name for it is "partial 16S ribosomal RNA". It matches the Rfam family "Bacterial small subunit ribosomal RNA", at positions 354 to 796 of the family's 1533-position model. The record is from RNAcentral.
GUGAGGAAUAUUGGUCAAUGGGCGAGAGCCUGAACCAGCCAAGUCGCGUGAAGGAAGAAGGAUCUAUGGUUCGUAAACUUCUUUUGCAGGGGAAUAAAGUGCAGGACGUGUCCUGUUUUGUAUGUACUCUGCGAAUAAGGAUCGGCUAACUCCGUGCCAGCAGCCGCGGUAAUACGGAGGAUCCAAGCGUUAUCCGGAUUUAUUGGGUUUAAAGGGUGCGCAGGCGGGUUGAUAAGUCAGUGGUGAAAGUUUGCAGCUUAACUGUAAAAUUGCCGUUGAAACUGUCGAUCUUGAGUGCAAAUGAGGUAAGCGGAAUGUGUUGUGUAGCGGUGAAAUGCUUAGAUAUAACACAGAACACCGAUUGCGAAGGCAGCUUACUGGGAUGCAACUGACGCUCAUGCACGAAAGCGUGGGGAUCAAACAGGAUUAGAAACCCUGGUAGUCC